GGAAUACGAAUUGGCUGGAAACCCGCAUAAACAUUGACUUCUGUAACUGGCCUGUCACGCCGGGGGUCACGGGUUCGAGUCCCGUCCGCUCCGCCA
Molecule: transfer RNA, 96 nt
Filed under: Parapusillimonas granuli
Lineage: Bacteria; Pseudomonadati; Pseudomonadota; Betaproteobacteria; Burkholderiales; Alcaligenaceae
Description: tRNA-Asp
Source: RNAcentral